AACGAACGCUGGCGGCGCGCCUAAUACAUGCAAGUCGAGCGAGAAGACGUAGCAAUACGUUUGUAAAGCGGCGAACGGGUGAGGAAUACAUGGGUAACCUACCCUCGAGUGGGAAGUAACUAGCCGAAAGGUUAGCUAAUACCGCGUACGCUCCUUGGACUUCGGUUCAGGAGGAAAGCGAUACCGUGGUAUCGCGCUCUUGGAGUGGGCGUCAUGUCCUAUCAGCUUGUUGGUGAGGAACGGUCUCACCAAGGCUUCGACGGGUAGGCUGGUCUGAGAGGACGAUCAGCCACACUGGCACUGCGACACGGG
Molecule: ribosomal RNA, 312 nt
Filed under: uncultured bacterium
Lineage: Bacteria
Description: bacterial SSU rRNA
Rfam family: Bacterial small subunit ribosomal RNA
Source: RNAcentral